Tachysurus fulvidraco (yellow catfish) is the source of this 972-nucleotide long non-coding RNA. RefSeq lists it as uncharacterized. The record is from RefSeq and is a predicted model, not a curated record. The transcript has 4 exons. NCBI's taxonomy places the organism in Eukaryota, Metazoa, Chordata, Actinopteri, Siluriformes, Bagridae.
CUAAACAGGACAGCAGUGAAUUGCAUACCAUCUUACAGACACACGCGCUUGUAGACAACAAACCUAAUAUUUAGGAUUUGGGUGGUAGAGGAAACUUAAGACCAUGGAGGAACCCCAUCCUCAGAAUCAAACCCAGGAAAUUAACGCCAUGAGACAAUAAAACAGCUCGGUGCGUGGCAGGCAGCUGAAAGAAGACAGCUUGAUACCUCGUUGUAUGGACUUAUUAUUCAUCACAGCAAUAAAUCGAGGCUGUUGUUGACAGCAAACAGAGAAGAGACAGAAAGCGAGAGUAUGCGCUAGCUGCUGGUUUUCACUCGGCCUGAACGAGCUGGGAAAAAGUCACUAACAGCUCUACUACUGACAUCUGUAUGACAAAUGAAGCAGUUUUCCACCUGCGAGAGGAGCUGUUACACGUACCUGCUGAAAAGGGAGAUUUAGUAAAAAACAGGAGGCUUUUCCUGGCAGUGCCCCCCUAAGUUCCAGGGAAACACAAAUCUGUGUUCUUGUAAAGUCAAUUUGCUGCAUUUCCAUGUACAGAUAUUGCAUCAUGGAUUGUAUUAUUUUAUUUUUUUUAUGAUCGACAAUAGAAUUUUUUCUCACAGGGUUAUACAAUAAAAUCUACAAGUUCACUGUGUUUCAUUGUAUAAUGCAUGGUAAAUUGAACAAAUAAUAUCCUUAUAUAAGCCUAAAUACAUUUUUCAUACAUUGAUCCUGUCAUUUCAUAUUUACGGAUCCUAUUAUCUGUUAAAUAACUCCAAAAACCCUCUGAGCACAGAUUUAUCUUAUGAACAUAAUACAUCUAUUUAAAUAUUAGAAGUUUCAUUUAAAUGUGUACCUUAAUAUUGUGUCUAGUUAUUGGAACCUGUUUAGUGCUAAAGUUUCCCAAGUGAUAUUUCAUAGGCUUUUUAAAGUUUUGGCUUAUACCACAUUCAUGUGUUUGUUCAAAUAUUAUAAGAACCCAAUAAUGUAUUA